GCCUUCGUGGUGUAGUGGUCCGCACACUCGACGGGUAACCGAGAGUUCCGUGGUUCGAUUCCCUGCGAGGGCA
This 73-nucleotide transfer RNA is filed under the name Stegodyphus mimosarum. It matches the Rfam family "tRNA". Rfam says of the family: Transfer RNA (tRNA) molecules are approximately 80 nucleotides in length. Their secondary structure includes four short double-helical elements and three loops (D, anti-codon, and T loops). Further hydrogen bonds mediate the characteristic L-shaped molecular structure. tRNAs have two regions of fundamental functional importance: the anti-codon, which is responsible for specific mRNA codon recognition, and the 3' end, to which the tRNAs corresponding amino acid is attached (by aminoacyl-tRNA synthetases). tRNAs cope with the degeneracy of the genetic code in two manners: having more than one tRNA (with a specific anti-codon) for a particular amino acid; and 'wobble' base-pairing, i.e. permitting non-standard base-pairing at the 3rd anti-codon position. The record is from Rfam by way of RNAcentral. Lineage: Eukaryota; Metazoa; Arthropoda; Arachnida; Araneae; Eresidae.